CCUACGGGAGGCAGCAGUAAGGAAUAUUGGGCAAUGGAGGCAACUCUGACCCAGCCAUGCCGCGUGAAGGAUGAAGGCCCUAUGGGUUGUAAACUUCUUUUGUAUGGGAAUAAACGCAGUUACGUGUAACUGUUUGAAUGUACCAUAAGAAUAAGCACCGGCUAACUCCGUGCCAGCAGCCGCGGUAAUACGGAGGGUGCAAGCGUUAUCCGGAUUUAUUGGGUUUAAAGGGAGCGUAGGCGGGAUUGUAAGUCAGUGGUGAAAGCCCGUAGCUCAACUACGGAACUGCCAUUGAUACUGCAGACCUAGAGUACACUUGAAGUGGGCGGAAUGUGUCAUGUAGCGGUGAAAUGCUUAGAUAUGACACAGAACACCAAUUGCGAAGGCAGCUCACUAAAUUGUAACUGACGCUGAGGCUCGAUAGCGUGGGGAUCAAACAGGAUUAGAUACCCUGGUAGUCCACGCCGUAAACGAUGAUUACUCGAUGUUGGCGAUACACUGUCAGCGUCUGAGCGAAAGCAUUAAGUAAUCCACCUGGGGAGUACGGUCGCGAAGACUGAAACUCAAAUGAAUUGACGG
Molecule: ribosomal RNA, 579 nt
Filed under: uncultured bacterium
Lineage: Bacteria
Description: bacterial SSU rRNA
Rfam family: Bacterial small subunit ribosomal RNA
Source: RNAcentral